This 960-nucleotide long non-coding RNA is filed under the name Ananas comosus (pineapple). RNAcentral's name for it is "long non-coding RNA (ACOM_LNC017471)". The record is from RNAcentral. Lineage: Eukaryota; Viridiplantae; Streptophyta; Magnoliopsida; Poales; Bromeliaceae.
AAGGACGCUUUAUAUAAUAAUUAACGACGCUUUAAAUAGUCGGGAAAAAUAACACCGACGUUUUUAAAAGCGUCGGAUAAAGAGUCGUUAAAUAAACAUGUCGGAAAAAAUAACAAUUAGCGAUGCUUUAAAUAGUCGGGACAAAUAACACCGACGCUUUUAAAAGCGUCGGAUAAAGAGUCGUUAAAUAAACAUGUCGGAAUAUAUAUACCGACGCUAGCGUCGGGAAACUUUUUUUCGAUUCUUUUCAGAGUCGGUAAUGUGUUAGGUGCCGACUCUAAAAAGAGUCGUUAAUUUAAACAAAUGCCGACAUUCCAAAGUAUCGGUAAAUUAUAAAAUACCAACAUAUUAUCAACUCUAAAAAAAGUUGUUAAUUUAAACAAUUGCCGACACUCCAAAGCAUCGGUAAAUUAUAAAAUUCCAACAUAUCACAGACUCUAAAAAAGUCGUUAAUUUAAACAAAUACCGAUACUCCAAAGAAUCGGUAAAUUAUGAAAUACCAAAUAAACACGCUAAUACGAAAACUUUGCAUUAAUGAACAAAAAUAUUAAAAUAUUUCAAUAUUAAUAAACUUCAAUCAACAAUGCUAAUCCCAAUCAAGAAAUAAAAAAUUCUCUACUAUUGCAUAAGCAGGGAAUAAUAGGCAUAAAGAAAAAUUUCAUCACUUUUUUAUUCACAGUGAAUUAUUAAUCGUAUAGCGUAUAUAGUGUUUUCAGUUUAAACGAAUGCCCUCUGGUAAUGUAUAUGUAGCUGCAGACAAAAUGUGAUGAAAAGAGUUAUAUGAGCAGAGCUCAACUGUUUCAGGAUUCCCACCAAAAUAAUAUAUGUCAGACAAUAUUCAUCCUACAAUAGCAAACAAAAAUUAAAAUUAGUACAAAUACUCAAUUCACCAAUCUUAUAUCGUUGUAGAUAGAAUGUGAGGAAUAAAGAGUUUGUGAUUAAAGCUCUAGAUAGUUAGGU